AUCCUUUAGUGGUUCAUAUGUGUGAUUGGGUGUUCAUGCCACUGUGUGAUAUGCGUCUCCUGUGAGCCUCGUCACAACGUCAGCACAGUACCCAUGUGACA
Molecule: small nucleolar RNA, 101 nt
Organism: Tupaia belangeri (northern tree shrew)
Lineage: Eukaryota; Metazoa; Chordata; Mammalia; Scandentia; Tupaiidae
Source: Ensembl